RNAcentral lists this ribosomal RNA (253 nucleotides) under uncultured bacterium. RNAcentral's name for it is "partial 16S ribosomal RNA". It matches the Rfam family "Bacterial small subunit ribosomal RNA", at positions 524 to 776 of the family's 1533-position model. The record is from RNAcentral.
UACGUAGGGUGCAAGCGUUGUCCGGAAUUAUUGGGCGUAAAGAGCUCGUAGGUGGUUUGUCGCGUUGUCCGUGAAAACUCACAGCUCAACUGUGGGCGUGCGGGCGAUACGGGCAGACUGGAGUACUGCAGGGGAGACUGGAAUUCCUGGUGUAGCGGUGGAAUGCGCAGAUAUCAGGUGGAACACCGAUGGCGAAGGCAGUGAUCUGGGCCAGUACUGACGCUGAGGAGCGAAAGCGUGGGGAGCAAACAGG